UUGGUGGCUGACGAAGCCCAGUGGAGAGGCAUUGUUCCUGUACCUAUGGAAACCUUCCAAAUAGGCCCAUUAUGAUGAAAGCACAUCAAAGAGGGAAUGAUGACAUACCUUUACCAUCCAUCGUCACAUCCACUGUUUGCCCUGGGUAAUACCCAAAAGAGAAGAAAAUAAAGCCACUCUUGCCACAGAGGGAAAUAACUGGAGAGCACUGAGUCUUAGCAGCCAAGGCUGUGAAAUAAGAACUGGUGUGAAGGCUCUUCAUUCAACUCCACAUCUGAAGCUCUGAAAGUGACCUUGUGCACUUUUCUUGAGCCUCUUUACUUUACGUUCCCCCAUUCUGCCACAAAGCUCCUGGUGGGGCUGGUGUCUCCUCUACUCUCCUGCUGAUUUCAUCAAGGUAAAGAAUUCUAUUCCUUUUCAAAUGCUUUGAGAUCAUGGGAUAGAAGACAGCCUGGGGAAGUUCAAAGACGUUUAAUCAUUAGCCUCAGUUCUUUUGAAAAUUAUUAAAGAGCCCAGAAUUAGAAAUUCAGAUUUCCUCCAAAUCCCUGAGAACAAACAACUCUCUUGUAAAUGGCUUAAUGUGUCUGCUUAAUGUACACAAAAUUAUCUUUCAGGAAAGUGGAUUGUUUUUUAUAUCAUUUUGCAUCUCUAAAAUAUACUACCUAUGGCAAAAGGAUUGGGAUUCAAAGUCUGACAAAAUCUACAGCAGAAAUAAUUAGCACCAGAGGCUGUUUCUGAGAGUUAAAUGAAAGAGAAACUGGUUAUUUAUUUAUUUAUUUUCUCUCUAUCUGUAUCUCUCCAUCUCAGCCCCGGGAAGAGGAAUUGUAUCUCUUGGUGCUAGAAGGGUGGCUUGCUGAAUUGCCUUUACAAGGUUUUUUUCUGUAAGACAACACUGAGCCCCCAACACACAACUCCCUGUGGGCCGGAGUGCUAUGGAAACAGCUGCAGUGCUCCAACUCAGGGGAAAACAACCAGAUAAACCCACUGGUUUGCAAACUAGGCACAAGGGCAGAGGAAUAGUGAUGUUUUCUAAUUUAGCAUCCAGGGAGGCAAGGGAGAGUCUUCGCUUAAAUCAUGUUAAUGAAAUUGGAAACACUUGAACUAGCCCAUUGAGGGUCUGUUGCCCCUGUUUUUUAAAGUUCAUCUAAAAGUUAACCUACAAGGAAUUUUCAUUUGGGGAAUUUCUGCAAUGUCAACUCCACUGAUCACCCACAGUGUUUAACACCCUUGCUAUAAAUUUGGGGGCUAGCUUGGCAGCUCCUGCCACCCCCCUGAGUCUGCUACCUUGCUCCAGAAAUAAAAAAUGACUUUGGCCACAGUAAUGUUUCCUCGAUCCUCAGCCCCUCCUGGGGGCCUCCGGCAGUCAUUAUUUUAAAUAAACAUGCCUUUUAUUGUUUUCAGGUACACAGAGAUGGAGGCGCUUCUACCUCUGGAGGAGGGAUGGACUUUCAGGGGCCCCAUGAUUUGCAGCAGUUCAGUCAAAAGCAAUACAAAGAGCAAAGGAUAGGGGCUGUUAUCUUACCCAAGAGCUCCUCAAGCAGAGGAUACUCAAUUGGAAAGGAGGCUCUUGCAGUCAAAUUUGGGGCUAGUGGGGUUACCACGUUUGAUACCAACUAGGAACAAGAUCCCCUUAGAGGCUUCCAACUGAGGAGGGUUCCAAAAGAGAGCUCCAUAGCUGAAAUGAUUCAAAAGAAGCCAACUCCUUCUCAUUGAUCUGGCCCUUUGGAAUAUGGCCCCCUCCUCCCACGGCAUCCUUCCCCCUGCCCAGUGCCUCAGGCCCAUCUACAUGCUUCUACCUAUAGGCUUUGCUUCUUCUCUGGAAAGGAGCGAAGAAGGAAAAGAAUCAUUGGAGGUGAGUCAAAAGUAGGCACCGUAACUCAUGAGGCCUUGUAAGCCAGGGACACAGUUUGAGAUUUUACUUCAAAUGGAGGCAAAACCAGGGGAAAGCCAUGCAGAGACACCCCUUGAUGAACUCUGCUUCACGCCAAUCACUCUGGCAGCUAAGAAAAGUGCAUUCUCUCUCCUUUUGCAGUUCUCCUGGUGCCUAGCACAGGGCCAAGGGCACAGUAGAUGUGAGCCUAACCCUUGUGGCCUUUGCUGAUGAAGGACAGUGAAGGGGAUAAGAAAACAUAAAGACAUUUUGGGCUGCAAGGGAACGAACUACUGAAAAACUACUGCGGCCCCCUCUAUUUAUGGAGAUGCUGAGGCCUUGGAGAGGGAAUUGACUUGUCCAAGGUCAACCAGAAAAGUGAUAGCAGAGCCAGGGUUAGUAUCCAGGUUUCUGCUGAUUGCAGCUCCUCAGAUAAAAGUAAGUGACUUGCCUCUCUUCUCCCAUAUCCAGAAUUGAUCUCAAACACUGUCAUGAAUCCCCAAGGGCCAGAGAGACACACAGCAUGGACCAAGGUGAGUAAACUGUUUUCUCUCUUUCUGAUGAUCUGAGCUUUUUCCUGGAGAGAUCUCAGGUGGCCAAGAAACCAAGUUGCCCACCUCAUGGUUCAGAGGGAAACAAUAACCUCAUGGCAGCUUCCCCGGGAGCCCAUGCAGGUGCCUCAGGGAUUAAGGAGCUCCUGAAAACAACCCCUUUCCUUUGCAGGAAGUGAUUUUCCACCCCUGAGGCAUAACACCAGGCAGAGGCUCUAUCAGUGCCUGCCGAUAUAAUUAGCUCUGGACAGACUCUCCAACCAAGGCAGACACAACCAGGCCCUUGCUCUAGAAACAAAAAGAAUGUUCUGGACCUAUCCCAGUACACUUCCAAACCCCACGCCUUCCUGGGCAAGUCGGGGCUCAGAGACCAAUAAACCCAACAGACUUCAGCAGCAGCCAGGGAGCUGGCAGCCUCUGUCCCCUGAAA
Pan troglodytes (chimpanzee) is the source of this 2851-nucleotide long non-coding RNA. RefSeq lists it as uncharacterized. The transcript is spliced from 2 exons. Lineage: Eukaryota; Metazoa; Chordata; Mammalia; Primates; Hominidae. The record is from RefSeq and is a predicted model, not a curated record.